UUGAACGCUGGCGGCAUGCCUUACACAUGCAAGUCGAACGGUAACAGGUUAAGCUGACGAGUGGCGAACGGGUGAGUAAUAUAUCGGAACGUGCCCAGUUGUGGGGGAUAACUACUCGAAAGAGUGGCUAAUACCGCAUGAGACCUGAGGGUGAAAGCGGGGGAUCGCAAGACCUCGCGCAAUUGGAGCGGCCGAUAUCAGAUUAGCUAGUUGGUGGGGUAAAAGCCCACCAAGGCCACGAUCUGUAGCUGGUCUGAGAGGACGACCAGCCACACUGGGACUGAGACACGGCCCAGACUCCUACGGGAGGCAGCAGUGGGGAAUUUUGGACAAUGGACGAAAGUCUGAUCCAGCCAUGCCGCGUGCGGGAAGAAGGCCUUCGGGUUGUAAAGCUCUUUCAGCAGGAACGAAACGGUCGGCUUUAAUAAAGUCGGCUAAUGACGGUACCUGCAGAAGAAGCACCGGCUAACUACGU
Molecule: ribosomal RNA, 475 nt
Filed under: uncultured bacterium
Lineage: Bacteria
Description: bacterial SSU rRNA
Rfam family: Bacterial small subunit ribosomal RNA
Source: RNAcentral